CCUAGUUAAUUCUGCUAGUAGUUAUAUACUUGUCUUAAAGAUUAAGCUAUACAUGUCUAAGUAUAAGCAAUUAUACCGUGAAACUGCAAAUAGCUUAUUAAAUCAGUUAUCGUUUAUUUAAUAGUACCUUACUACUUAGAUAACUGUAGUAAUUCUAGAGCUAAUACAUGCUAAAAACCCUAACUUUAGAAGGGGUGUAUUUAUUAGAUAAAAAACUAACGCCCUUUAGGGCUUCUUAGUGAUUUAUAAUAACUUUACGGAUCGCAUGGCCUUGCGCUAGCGACGGUUUAUUCAAAUUUCUGCCCUAUUAACUUUUGAUAGUAAGGUAUUAGCUUACCAUAGUUUUAACGGGUAACGGGGAAUUAGGGUUUAAUUCUAGAGAGGGAGCCUAAGAAAUAGCUACUAUAUCUAAGGAAGGCAGCAGGCGCGCAAAUUACCUAAUCCUAACACGGGGAGGUAGUGACAAUAAAUACUAAUAUAGGGCUCUUUUAGGUCUUGUAAUUAGAAUGAGUACAAUUUAAACCUCUUAACGAGGAACAAUUGGAGGGCAAGUCUGGUGCCAGCAGCCGCGGUAAUUCCAGCUCCAAUAGCGUAUAUUAAAGUUGUUGCAGUUAAAAAGCUCGUAGUUGAAACUUGGGUCUGGCUGGCAGGUCCGCCUCACCGCGUGUACUUAUCUAGCCGGGCCUUCCUUCUAGAGAACCUUAUGCCCUUUACUAGGCGUGUUAGGGACUAGGACUUUUACUUUAAAAAAAUUAGAGUGUUUAAAGUAGGCCUUUGCUUAAAUACGUUAGUAUAGAAUAAUAGAAUAGGACGUGCGGUCCUAUUUUGUUGGUUUCUAGGACCGCUGUAAUAAUUAAUAGGGAUAGUUAGGGGUAUUAGUAUUUAAUUGUUAGAGGUGAAAUUCUUAGAUUUAUUAAAGACUAACUACUGCGAAAGCAUUUGCUAAGGAUGUUUUUAUUAAUUAGUGAACGAAAGUUAGGGGAUUAAAGACGAUUAGAUACCGUCGUAGUCUUAACCGUAAACUAUGCCGACUAGGGAUCGGGCGAUGUUCUUUUUCUGACUCGCUCGGCACCUUACGAGAAAUUAAAGUUUUUAGGUUCUAGGGGGAGUAUGGUCGCAAGGCUAAAACUUAAAGAAAUUAACAGAAGGGCACUACUAGGCGUGGAGCCUGCGGCUUAAUUUAACUUAAUAUAGGGAAACUUACUAGGUCUAGAUGAAAUAAGGAUUAAUAGAUUAAGAGCUCUUUCUUAAUUUUUUAGGUAGUGGUGCAUGGCCGUUCUUAGUUGGUGGAGUGAUUUGUCUGCUUAAUUGCGAUAACGAACGAGACCUUAACCUACUAAAUAGCUAGGCUAGCUUUAGCUAGUCGCCGGCUUCUUAG
RNAcentral lists this ribosomal RNA (1378 nucleotides) under Plenodomus biglobosus/Leptosphaeria biglobosa 'brassicae' group. RNAcentral describes it as "SSU rRNA". It matches the Rfam family "Eukaryotic small subunit ribosomal RNA", at positions 3 to 1414 of the family's 1831-position model. Lineage: Eukaryota; Fungi; Ascomycota; Dothideomycetes; Pleosporales; Leptosphaeriaceae. The record is from RNAcentral.